This 207-nucleotide ribosomal RNA is filed under the name uncultured bacterium. Its description in RNAcentral is "partial 16S ribosomal RNA". It matches the Rfam family "Bacterial small subunit ribosomal RNA", at positions 568 to 774 of the family's 1533-position model. The record is from RNAcentral.
CACGUAGGCGGAUUGCUAAGUCAGGGGUGAAAUCCUGGAGCUCAACUCCAGAACUGCCCUUGAUACUGGCGGUCUUGAGUCCGGGAGAGGUGAGUGGAACUGCGAGUGUAGAGGUGAAAUUCGUAGAUAUUCGCAAGAACACCAGUGGCGAAGGCGGCUCACUGGCCCGGUACUGACGCUGAGGUGCGAAAGCGUGGGGAGCAAACA